Molecule: non-coding RNA, 115 nt
Organism: Triticum urartu
Lineage: Eukaryota; Viridiplantae; Streptophyta; Magnoliopsida; Poales; Poaceae
Source: Rfam
GUACUACUCCCUCCGUUCCAAAUUACUCGUCUUAAAAAUAGAUGUAUCUAUAAUUAAAAUACAUCUAGAUAUAUUCAUAUAUGUGACAAGUAAUUCAGAACGGAGGGAGUACUAC